GAUGAACGCUGGCGGCGUGCCUAAUACAUGCAAGUCGAGCGAACAGACGCGGAGCUUGCUCCUCUUUCGUUAGCGACGGACGGGUGAGUCGUACGUAGCUAACCUACCUCUAAGACUUAGAUAACGGCGGGUAACCCUAGCAAAUACCGGAUAAUAUCUUCACCCGCAUGGUUCUAGAGUGAAUUACGGGUUUUCUGUCACUUAUAGACGUAUCCGCGCCGCAUUAGCUAGUUGGUACGGUAACGGCUUACCAAGGAAACGAUGCGUAGCCGACCGGAGAGGGUGAUCGGCGGCACUGGAAGUGAGACACGGACCAGACGACUACGGGAGGCAGCAGUAGGCAAUGUUCCGCAGUGGGCGAAAGCAUGACGGAGCAACGGCGAGUGAGUGGUGAAGGUCUUCGGAGCGUGAAGCUCUGUUAUUAGGUAAAAACAAAUGUGUAAGUAGCUGUGCACGUCUUGACGGUACCUGAACAGGAAGCCACGGCUAACUACGUG
This 497-nucleotide ribosomal RNA is filed under the name uncultured bacterium. RNAcentral's name for it is "partial 16S ribosomal RNA". It matches the Rfam family "Bacterial small subunit ribosomal RNA", at positions 28 to 507 of the family's 1533-position model. The record is from RNAcentral.